AAUCUCCUCUAUCAACGCCUUUCUUCCAGCUGCGAUCUCCUCUAUCAAAGUUUCUUGCUCCACUGUGUUGUGCUCUGUGAAGCUUCUUCUUCUCCAUCUUCGUUGAACUAGGUCCCAAGGAGGACAGUCAGGUUUCAGAAGCAACUCGAAGAGCUGUGCAAGAAGAAGCGAAAAGGCUGAUUUUACAGAAAAUUCCACUCCAGAAAAAAUUGUUUGAGAUUAUGUUUAAGUAUAGCUUGAAGGGUGUGAGCAAUGAUGUGGAGAGAUGCUUGUCACUGGUGAG
Non-coding RNA from Arachis ipaensis, 283 nucleotides. NCBI's taxonomy places the organism in Eukaryota, Viridiplantae, Streptophyta, Magnoliopsida, Fabales, Fabaceae. The record is from RefSeq and is a predicted model, not a curated record.